This 468-nucleotide ribosomal RNA is filed under the name uncultured bacterium. Its description in RNAcentral is "partial 16S ribosomal RNA". It matches the Rfam family "Bacterial small subunit ribosomal RNA", at positions 28 to 507 of the family's 1533-position model. The record is from RNAcentral.
GACGAACGCUGGCGACGUGCUUAACACAUGCAAGUCGAACGGAAAGGCCCUGCUUUUGUGGGGUGCUCGAGUGGCGAACGGGUGAGUAACACGUGAGUAACCUGCCCUUGACUUUGGGAUAACUUCAGGAAGCUGGGGCUAAUACCGGAUAGGAGCUCCUGCUGCAUGGUGGGGGUUGGAAAGUUUCGGCGGUGGGGGAUGGACUCGCGGCUUAUCAGCUUGUUGGUGGGGUAGUGGCUUACCAAGGCUUUGACGGGUAGCCGGCCUGAGAGGGUGACCGGCCACAUUGGGACUGAGAUACGGCCCAGACUCCUACGGGAGGCAGCAGUGGGGAAUAUUGCACAAUGGGCGGAAGCCUGAUGCAGCAACGCCGCGUGCGGGAUGACGGCCUUCGGGUUGUAAACCGCUUUCGCCUGUGACGAAGCGUGAGUGACGGUAAUGGGUAAAGAAGCACCGGCUAACUACGUG